GAUGAACGCUGGCGGCGUGCUUAACACAUGCAAGUCGAACGAAACACCUUAUUUGAUUUUCUUCGGAACUGAGGAUUUGGUGAUUGAGUGGCGGACGGGUGAGUAACGCGUGGGUAACCUGCCCUGUACAGGGGGAUAACAGUCAGAAAUGACUGCUAAUACCGCAUAAGACCACAGCACCGCAUGGGGCAGGGGUAACAACUCCGGUGGUACAGGAUGGACCCGCGUCGGAUUAGCUGGUUGGGGAGGUAACGGGUCACCAUGGCGACGAUCCGUAGCCGGGUUGAGAGAGUGAACGGCCACAUUGGGACUGAGACACAGCCCAAACUCCUACGGGAGGCAGCAGUGGGGAAUAGUGCACAAUGGGGGAAACCCUGAUGCAGCGACGCCGCGUGAGUGAAGAAGUAUUGCGGUAUGUAAAGCGCUAUCAGCAGGGAAGAAAAUGACGGUACCUGACUAAGAAGCCCCGGCUAACUACGUG
RNAcentral lists this ribosomal RNA (481 nucleotides) under uncultured bacterium. Its description in RNAcentral is "partial 16S ribosomal RNA". It matches the Rfam family "Bacterial small subunit ribosomal RNA", at positions 28 to 507 of the family's 1533-position model. The record is from RNAcentral.